GAUGAACGCUAGCGGCGUGCCUAAUACAUGCAAGUCGAGCGAACAGACGAGGAGCUUGCUCCUCUGACGUUAGCGGCGGACGGGUGAGUAACACGUGGAUAACCUACCUAUAAGACUGGGAUAACUUCGGGAAACCGGAGCUAAUACCGGAUAAUAUAUUGAACCGCAUGGUUCAAUAGUGAAAGACGGUUUUGCUGUCACUUAUAGAUGGAUCCGCGCCGCAUUAGCUAGUUGGUAAGGUAACGGCUUACCAAGGCAACGAUGCGUAGCCGACCUGAGAGGGUGAUCGGCCACACUGGAACUGAGACACGGUCCAGACUCCUACGGGAGGCAGCAGUAGGGAAUCUUCCGCAAUGGGCAAAAGCCUGACGGAGCAACGCCGCGUGAGUGAUGAAGGUCUUCGGAUCGUAAAACUCUGUUAUUAGGGAAGAACAAAUGUGUAAGUAACUAUGCACGUCUUGACGGUACCUAAUCAGAAAGCCACGGCUAACUACGUG
RNAcentral lists this ribosomal RNA (497 nucleotides) under uncultured bacterium. Its description in RNAcentral is "partial 16S ribosomal RNA". It matches the Rfam family "Bacterial small subunit ribosomal RNA", at positions 28 to 507 of the family's 1533-position model. The record is from RNAcentral.